Molecule: ribosomal RNA, 207 nt
Filed under: uncultured bacterium
Lineage: Bacteria
Description: partial 16S ribosomal RNA
Rfam family: Bacterial small subunit ribosomal RNA
Source: RNAcentral
AGCGCAGGCGGUUUUUUAAGUCUGAUGUGAAAGCCUUCGGCUCAACCGAAGAAGUGCAUCGGAAACUGGAAAACUUGAGUGCAGAAGAGGACAGUGGAACUCCAUGUGUAGCGGUGAAAUGCGUAGAUAUAUGGAAGAACACCAGUGGCGAAGGCGGCUGUCUGGUCUGUAACUGACGCUGAGGCUCGAAAGUAUGGGUAGCAAACA